Molecule: RNA transcript, 1221 nt
Organism: Carlito syrichta (Philippine tarsier)
Lineage: Eukaryota; Metazoa; Chordata; Mammalia; Primates; Tarsiidae
Gene name: ribonucleoside-diphosphate reductase subunit M2 pseudogene
Exons: 1
Source: RefSeq, a predicted model, not a curated record
CGGCCCCAGCUGCCUUGGUCACCUCUGACUGCGCCUGCCCUCUCCGCUCCCAUGCUCUCCCUGCGCGCCCCGCUCGCCCCCAUCGCCGACCCCCAGCAGCUGAAGCUGUCGCCCAUGAAGGGGCUCAGCCUGGCGGACAAGGAGAACAUGCCCCUGGCCCUGAGCGGCUCCUGCGUCCUGGACAGCAAGACCGCAAGGAGGAUCUUCCAGGAGCUGGCCGAGCCGAAAACUAAAGGGCCUGACUUCAGGGUAGAGGAUGGACCUCUGCUGAGAGAAAACCCUCGCCGCUUUGUCAUCUUUCCUAUCGAGUACCAUGACAUCUGGCAGAUGUACACGAAAGCUGAGGCCUCCUUUUGGACAGCUGAAGAGGUUGAUCUUACCAAAGACCUCCGGCACUGGGAAUCCCUGAAACCUGUGGAGAGAUAUUUUAUAUCGCGUGUUCUGACUUUCUUUGCAGCAAGAGAUGGCAUAGUAAAUGAAAACUUGGUGGAGCGAUUUAGCCAAGAAGUUCAAGUUACAGAAGCCCGCUGUUUCUAUGGCUUCCAAAUUGCCAUGGAAAACAUACAUUCUGAAAUGUACAGUCUCCUUAUUGACACUUACAUUAAAGACCCCAAAGAAAGGGAAUUUCUCUUCAAUGCCAUUGAGACGAUGCCUUGUGUCAAGAAGAAGGCAGAUUGGGCCUUGCGUUGGACUGGGGACAAAGAGGCUACUUAUGGAGAACGUGUUGUAGCCUUUGCUGCAGUGGAAGGCAUCUGCUUUUCUGGUUCUUUUACAUCGAUAUUCUGGCUCAAGAAAUGAGGACUGAUGCCUGGCCUCACAUUUCCCAAUGAACUUAUUAGCAGAGAUGAGGGCUUACACUGUGACUUUGCCUGCCUGAUAUUCAAACACCUGAUACACAAACCAUCGGAGCAGAGAGUAAAAGAAAUAAUCAUCAAUGCAGUUAGGAUAGAACAGGAGUUCCUCACAGAAGCCUUGCCUGUGAAGCUCAUUGGGAUGAAUUGCAUUUUAAUGAAGCAAUACAUCGAGUUUGUGGCUGACAGACUUAUGCUGGAACUGGGUUUUAGCAAGGUUUUCAAAGUAGAAAAUCCAUUUGACUUGAUGGAUAAUACUUCACUGGAAGGAAUGACUAACUUCUUUGAGAAGAGAGUAGGCGAAUAUCAGAGAAUAUGAGUGAUGUCAAGUCCAACGGAGAAUUCUUUUACUUUGGAUGCUGACUUCUAA